GGGUUGUGAGGUUAAGCGACUAAGCGUACACGGUGGAUGCCCUGGCAGUCAGAGGCGAUGAAGGACGUGCUAAUCUGCGAUAAGCGUCGGUAAGGUGAUAUGAACCGUUAUAACCGGCGAUUUCCGAAUGGGGAAACCCAGUGUGAUUCGUCACACUAUCAUUAACUGAAUCCAUAGGUUAAUGAGGCGAACCGGGGGAACUGAAACAUCUAAGUACCCGAGGAAAAGAAAUCAACCGAGAUUCCCCAGUAGCGGCGAGCGAACGGGGAGCAGCCCAGAGCCUGAAUCAGUGUGUGUGUUAGUGGAAGCGUCUGGAAAGGCGUGCGAUACAGGGUGACAGCCCCGUACACAAAAAUGCACAUACUGUGAGCUCGAUGAGUAGGGCGGGACACGUGGUAUCCUGUCUGAAUAUGGGGGGACCAUCCUCCAAGGCUAAAUACUCCUGACUGACCGAUAGUGAACCAGUACCGUGAGGGAAAGGCGAAAAGAACCCCGGCGAGGGGAGUGAAAAAGAACCUGAAACCGUGUACGUACAAGCAGUGGGAGCACGCUUAGGCGUGUGACUGCGUACCUUUUGUAUAAUGGGUCAGCGACUUAUAUUCUGUAGCAAGGUUAACCGAAUAGGGGAGCCGAAGGGAAACCGAGUCUUAACUGGGCGUUAAGUUGCAGGGUAUAGACCCGAAACCCGGUGAUCUAGCCAUGGGCAGGUUGAAGGUUGGGUAACACUAACUGGAGGACCGAACCGACUAAUGUUGAAAAAUUAGCGGAUGACUUGUGGCUGGGGGUGAAAGGCCAAUCAAACCGGGAGAUAGCUGGUUCUCCCGAAAGCUAUUUAGGUAGCGCCUCGUGAAUUCAUCUCCGGGGGUAGAGCACUGUUUCGGCAAGGGGGUCAUCCCGACUUACCAACCCGAUGCAAACUGCGAAUACCGGAGAAUGUUAUCACGGGAGACACACGGCGGGUGCUAACGUCCGUCGUGAAGAGGGAAACAACCCAGACCGCCAGCUAAGGUCCCAAAGUCAUGGUUAAGUGGGAAACGAUGUGGGAAGGCCCAGACAGCCAGGAUGUUGGCUUAGAAGCAGCCAUCAUUUAAAGAAAGCGUAAUAGCUCACUGGUCGAGUCGGCCUGCGCGGAAGAUGUAACGGGGCUAAACCAUGCACCGAAGCUGCGGCAGCGACGCUUAUGCGUUGUUGGGUAGGGGAGCGUUCUGUAAGCCUGUGAAGGUGUGCUGUGAGGUAUGCUGGAGGUAUCAGAAGUGCGAAUGCUGACAUAAGUAACGAUAAAGCGGGUGAAAAGCCCGCUCGCCGGAAGACCAAGGGUUCCUGUCCAACGUUAAUCGGGGCAGGGUGAGUCGACCCCUAAGGCGAGGCCGAAAGGCGUAGUCGAUGGGAAACAGGUUAAUAUUCCUGUACUUGGUGUUACUGCGAAGGGGGGACGGAGAAGGCUAUGUUGGCCGGGCGACGGUUGUCCCGGUUUAAGCGUGUAGGCUGGUUUUCCAGGCAAAUCCGGAAAAUCAAGGCCGAGGCGUGAUGACGAGGCACUACGGUGCUGAAGCAACAAAUGCCCUGCUUCCAGGAAAAGCCUCUAAGCAUCAGGUAACAUCAAAUCGUACCCCAAACCGACACAGGUGGUCAGGUAGAGAAUACCAAGGCGCUUGAGAGAACUCGGGUGAAGGAACUAGGCAAAAUGGUGCCGUAACUUCGGGAGAAGGCACGCUGAUACGUAGGUGAAGCGACUUGCUCGUGGAGCUGAAAUCAGUCGAAGAUACCAGCUGGCUGCAACUGUUUAUUAAAAACACAGCACUGUGCAAACACGAAAGUGGACGUAUACGGUGUGACGCCUGCCCGGUGCCGGAAGGUUAAUUGAUGGGGUUAGCGCAAGCGAAGCUCUUGAUCGAAGCCCCGGUAAACGGCGGCCGUAACUAUAACGGUCCUAAGGUAGCGAAAUUCCUUGUCGGGUAAGUUCCGACCUGCACGAAUGGCGUAAUGAUGGCCAGGCUGUCUCCACCCGAGACUCAGUGAAAUUGAACUCGCUGUGAAGAUGCAGUGUACCCGCGGCAAGACGGAAAGACCCCGUGAACCUUUACUAUAGCUUGACACUGAACAUUGAGCCUUGAUGUGUAGGAUAGGUGGGAGGCUUUGAAGUGUGGACGCCAGUCUGCAUGGAGCCGACCUUGAAAUACCACCCUUUAAUGUUUGAUGUUCUAACGUGGACCCGUGAUCCGGGUUGCGGACAGUGUCUGGUGGGUAGUUUGACUGGGGCGGUCUCCUCCUAAAGAGUAACGGAGGAGCACGAAGGUUGGCUAAUCCUGGUCGGACAUCAGGAGGUUAGUGCAAUGGCAUAAGCCAGCUUGACUGCGAGCGUGACGGCGCGAGCAGGUGCGAAAGCAGGUCAUAGUGAUCCGGUGGUUCUGAAUGGAAGGGCCAUCGCUCAACGGAUAAAAGGUACUCCGGGGAUAACAGGCUGAUACCGCCCAAGAGUUCAUAUCGACGGCGGUGUUUGGCACCUCGAUGUCGGCUCAUCACAUCCUGGGGCUGAAGUAGGUCCCAAGGGUAUGGCUGUUCGCCAUUUAAAGUGGUACGCGAGCUGGGUUUAGAACGUCGUGAGACAGUUCGGUCCCUAUCUGCCGUGGGCGCUGGAGAACUGAGGGGGGCUGCUCCUAGUACGAGAGGACCGGAGUGGACGCAUCACUGGUGUUCGGGUUGUCAUGCCAAUGGCACUGCCCGGUAGCUAAAUGCGGAAGAGAUAAGUGCUGAAAGCAUCUAAGCACGAAACUUGCCCCGAGAUGAGUUCUCCCUGACCCUUUAAGGGUCCUGAAGGAACGUUGAAGACGACGACGUUGAUAGGCCGGGUGUGUAAGCGCAGCGAUGCGUUGAGCUAACCGGUACUAAUGAACCGUGAGGCUUAACCUUACAACGCCGAAG
RNAcentral lists this ribosomal RNA (2922 nucleotides) under Shigella flexneri. RNAcentral's name for it is "23S ribosomal RNA". It matches the Rfam family "Bacterial large subunit ribosomal RNA". Lineage: Bacteria; Pseudomonadati; Pseudomonadota; Gammaproteobacteria; Enterobacterales; Enterobacteriaceae. The record is from RNAcentral.